RNAcentral lists this unclassified non-coding RNA (230 nucleotides) under Hevea brasiliensis (rubber tree). Lineage: Eukaryota; Viridiplantae; Streptophyta; Magnoliopsida; Malpighiales; Euphorbiaceae. The record is from RNAcentral.
UUUUUUUUUUAAAUUAGACAAGCUGCUAUUUGUCGGUUAUUAUUGCUAGUUAUUUCUGGUUAAUUUAGCCCAAUUUGAGACUUAAUUGACCUAAUUGUCUAGGAAGAAAAAGGAUUUAAUGCUAAUUUGUUCCGUGAAUUUGGCUUGGAUGCCCAAUCAAAAAACGAAAAUAAUCUAUGUGAUAAUUACACAUUAAAUUUGUCACAAAUUUGAUUAAUUUAACACGUGAG